CUGACGUCAGCGGCCGAGCUACUCCCGGGCUAGGCCGAGCGCGAGGGGGUCGUUGGCGCUUAUACCCGUUGGAACCGGUUGGGGUGUAGUUUAUAGCCCUAGUGAGAAGCAGGUUAUUACUUUGUUUACUGAAGAUGCGGUGCCUUCAGUAGAACUUUCAUCAUGUUAAUCUUCCUCAAUGGGCACAUGAGAAACCAAAGUAACAUCUGUCUGUCCUCCAACAAGGAAGGCAGUAUUGAGAAUUUUCCAUGCUUGAACAUGAUAGCUUCCCACAGCAGUGCCAAUGCUGAAAGCCCUACCACACAGGAAUGCUGAUGUUAGGAACUUGUCAUUCCCAAAGCUGUGCCUUCCUUCCAGCACCCUCGUGCCUGGAAAAGCACUUCUCUGCUUCCAUAAUAAGCUGUCACUGUUUUUCAUUGCUCCACACUGUUCCUUUUCAGACAAAAACACAAUUUGUGUCUCCAGAGAUUCAGUCACUGUUACUCUUCUAAAGCAGUGAUCUGUGCAGUAUUGACUUUGCUCGGUACGCGUGGUUAAUUUAUUAACCACAUGUGCAUGACAGUUGUGGGGAAGAAGCAUAAACUCCAGGACUUGGAGUUACUUCAGUGUGAAUAAUUCUGCUCAUGAAAUGACUCUUGGGUUUUAUAGCUCCCUGGCUUUGAGCCCUUCUGAGUAUCUAAUCUGCCCCAUAAUUUGGGGUGCUAUUGUUAACUCGGCUUAAUCUUCAGUAAACUGCAAGUGAGGAGAGAUAAGCAAUGAGGCUAGAAAUGCUGGAUAGAAGAUAGAGAAAAGACCAGAUGGGUGAGACUGGGUUACAGAGCUGAGAAAUGGAUUUAAAGAAAAGUAUGUCACGGACAACAAAAAUGUGUGAUUGGAGUGAUACUGUCAUACUCUACCUCUUGGCUUCUGUGGGCUGCUUCUAGAGCUUUUCGGGAUAGUGGUGUCACUGUGGACAAAGCAAGGGAAGAAAGGAACAAAGGCCUUUUAUUUGAAUUAAAUCAUCAGUGGAUCCAUUACAACAGAUACUGUUCAGCUGAGGAGAUUGCAAACUGCAGUUGCGUGACCUUAACUCUGACCAAACUUGCAUUCUGGUGUAUUUAUUAGUGAUGCUGUCAGUUUUAAUUCAGUGAGCUGGAUAAGGAAGGUCUACUGUCACUUCCCAGAAAAUCUCUUAAUAGCCAAAUUCCUUUAUGGAAUAUGCCUUAAUGUAGCCUAAUGGCAGUAAAAUUCUGCUUUGGAAAGUUAUUACUCUUGAGUGAUAGGCAAUUUCUUCUUCCGGACCUGAAAAAUCAGUGGAUGAAUAAUGAAUGUGAGGUAAAACUGCUCUCUGUUUUAAUCAAACCAAACUUCAGUAAUAGGAAUGGAAGAUGUUGAAAGAAAGCAAAUUUAGCUUUAAUCAGCAGGCUUCUUUGUUGCAGAAAAAAAGAUUAAAAUUCAAGACACAAAAAAACAUUUAAGUAGGUCAGUGCUUUGAAAACCCUUUUAAUGUGGAUUACAAAGUCUACAGACAGCAACAAUGUUUUAGGCCUAUUUUUUGUGACCAUCUCUCACUAGAUAUAUGGACCUUUAGGACGAAAAACAGAAAUCAAAACUAUUUAAGCUACUGCUUAUCUAAGUUCAAUACAAAACUUAUUUUGUUGUAGUGUUCCAGUUAUAAGCAGUUAUUUUCUUUGUACUUUCAUAAAAACACAUAUAACUGCUGCUGCCUAAAAGUUUAUAAAACUGGUGUUUCUGACAAUAUCUUAAAGAAUUGCAUUAAUAUCUUAAAGAAUUGCAUUUAAGAUAACGUAUCAGAAGUUUUUUUGUUGUUGUAUAACAUGUAAAUAAUCUGUAUGUUGUAAAAAUGAAAUAUAUUUACCCUUUAAACAUUAGGGUUUUAUUAUGUGGGCCGUUGUAAAGCCUGCAUAACCAGUUAAGCAGCUCAUAGGCAAAUGCAGCUGUGUUAGUUACACCAGGCUGGGUUAGUCUGAAAGCUCAGGAGCUUGUUUUGACUUUGUGCUGUGUACCCAGUCCCUAAAACAAAGGCAGCCUGCACGAGACACUGUCCGGGACAGCUGCAGAGCACAGGCUGAAACUGCAGCAGUCAUAUGUUAAGAAAUAAACACAGCAAAUCUCUAACACAGAUAAUAUUAGGAACAAUGGCAAUUCCUGAUUACAAUAAUUGUUACCUGAACUCUUUCAGUCUUAAUUUGACAGUAACUUUUUUUGCAUUGGGUGUACAAGCUUUUAACUUUUUUAAAAAUGGUUUUGCUUUUCUAUUCACCUGGCUUUCCCUCACUUUCUUAUUUUCAUUCAAAGCAAUACUCAUGCAACAUUUUCCCCUCAAGGUAUUUAAAAAUGUUCUUUGUUUUGCUCUACUGCUAAUCCUUUUUUACAGGUAUGAGAAGAAAACAGCAGUUUGUCUUUAAAUAUUGGAAAGUUUCACAGGCAGCUUAGAGGGGCUCUAAAAUGUGGAUAGCCCUUAUUUACAGCAAGAAUAUGGUUUAAAUGGGUAAAAAACUUUCUAUUCUUUUCUCCACACCCCCCCCCCCCGCCCCAAACUGUUCCAGUGUUGGUAAACAUUGGUACUUUGCCUGAAACAUAUACACAAUUUACUCUUAAGAAAUGGAAUUUAAUUGCCAAUAAAAUUGUUCUGUCUUUUGUGAAUUGGAGAGCAUAGUUUGAGAACUUUUUUCUCCU
Long non-coding RNA from Passer domesticus (house sparrow), 2679 nucleotides. RefSeq lists it as uncharacterized. The transcript has 3 exons. The record is from RefSeq and is a predicted model, not a curated record. NCBI's taxonomy places the organism in Eukaryota, Metazoa, Chordata, Aves, Passeriformes, Passeridae.